ACGGGUAGCCGGCCUGAGAGGGCGACCGGCCACACUGGGACUGAGACACGGCCCAGACUCCUACGGGAGGCAGCAGUGGGGAAUAUUGCACAAUGGGGGAAACCCUGAUGCAGCGACGCAGCGUGCGGGAUGACGGCCUUCGGGUUGUAAACCGCUUUCAGCAGGGAAGAAGCCCNUNGGGGUGACGGUACCUGCAGAAGAAGUACCGGCUAACUACGUGCCAGCAGCCGCGGUAAUACAAA
RNAcentral lists this ribosomal RNA (242 nucleotides) under uncultured bacterium. RNAcentral describes it as "partial 16S ribosomal RNA". It matches the Rfam family "Bacterial small subunit ribosomal RNA", at positions 279 to 529 of the family's 1533-position model. The record is from RNAcentral.